Non-coding RNA from Diabrotica virgifera virgifera (western corn rootworm), 72 nucleotides. The record is from the annotation of a RefSeq genome assembly. Lineage: Eukaryota; Metazoa; Arthropoda; Insecta; Coleoptera; Chrysomelidae.
AGGGGUAUAGCUCAGUGGUAGAGCGUUCGACUGAGGAUCAAGAGGUCCCUGGUUCGAAUCCCGGUGUUUUCU